This 279-nucleotide unclassified non-coding RNA is filed under the name plant metagenome. RNAcentral describes it as "partial contains small subunit ribosomal RNA, internal transcribed spacer 1, and 5.8S ribosomal RNA". The record is from RNAcentral.
UCUCCGUAGGUGAACCUGCGGAAGGAUCAUUAUUGUAUUACCAAAGUGCGAACCCUUUCUCUACGCCGAUAGCAGUUGCACGCCCGGCGAGCCUCACACGCAUCCAUCCGACGCCUAUAUACACCACCGCUGGGGUACCCCUUUUCCGUUUUCUUAUGGAGUCAGACAUUUUCACCCACACUUGAUAUCCUGUGUAUGGUGUCUUUGUUGUUUUUACGAGCACGCAAGCAAUACAACUUUAAACAACGUCUCUCUUCGCUCUCGCAUCUAUGAACAACG